ACUUGGCCAUAAUGGAUCCACCACGUCUGGCAUACAUCAUAAAACGUAAAUAAAAACAUUAACUUACGCCCAACUAUGGCCUCCUAUGAGUAUGAUCACGGAAUUAAAGUCUCCUACUAAGAGCUUAGGAAAAUGAGAGGGUUAAACUCAAGUAAGCUUAGUUAACAUGGUAUUAGCCUAUUAGCACUCUGUUUGGCUGGAGAGAAAGCUGAAGAAAAAAAGUUGUUCGAACUUCAUGAUAAUACUUUUAAUUUUUUUAUUCUGUGCGUGGAAAAACGAAAGGCUAGAAAGAAAAGCAAAUACGCUCAAAUAACAUGAGAAGGGCCGAAAAAACGACUACCUGAGAAGAAAUCAUCUCGACGGCGGGAC
This 369-nucleotide unclassified non-coding RNA is filed under the name Hevea brasiliensis (rubber tree). The record is from RNAcentral. Lineage: Eukaryota; Viridiplantae; Streptophyta; Magnoliopsida; Malpighiales; Euphorbiaceae.